GUAACGGGGCUAAACCAUGCACCGAAGCUGCGGCAGCGACGCUUAUGCGUUGUUGGGUAGGGGAGCGUUCUGUAAGCCUGUGAAGGUGUACUGUGAGGUAUGCUGGAGGUAUCAGAAGUGCGAAUGCUGACAUAAGUAACGAUAAAGCGGGUGAAAAGCCCGCUCGCCGGAAGACCAAGGGUUCCUGUCCAACGUUAAUCGGGGCAGGGUGAGUCGACCCCUAAGGCGAGGCCGAAAGGCGUAGUCGAUGGGAAACAGGUUAAUAUUCCUGUACUUGGUGUUACUGCGAAGGGGGGACGGAGAAGGCUAUGUUGGCCGGGCGACGGUUGUCCCGGUUUAAGCGUGUAGGCUGGUUUUCCAGGCAAAUCCGGAAAAUCAAGGCUGAGGCGUGAUGACGAGGCACUACGGUGCUGAAGCAACAAAUGCCCUGCUUCCAGGAAAAGCCUCUAAGCAUCAGGUAACAUCAAAUCGUACCCCAAACCGACACAGGUGGUCAGGUAGAGAAUACCAAGGCGCUUGAGAGAACUCGGGUGAAGGAACUAGGCAAAAUGGUGCCGUAACUUCGGGAGAAGGCACGCUGAUAUGUAGGUGAAG
RNAcentral lists this ribosomal RNA (594 nucleotides) under Escherichia coli. Its description in RNAcentral is "bacterial LSU rRNA". It matches the Rfam family "Bacterial large subunit ribosomal RNA", at positions 1172 to 1767 of the family's 2925-position model. Lineage: Bacteria; Pseudomonadati; Pseudomonadota; Gammaproteobacteria; Enterobacterales; Enterobacteriaceae. The record is from RNAcentral.